CUGGCUCAGGAUGAACGCUAGCUACAGGCUUAACACAUGCAAGUCGAGGGGUAGCAGGGUAGCAAUACCGCUGACGACCGGCGCACGGGUGAGUAACACGUAUCCAACCUUCCCAUAACUCAGGGAUAGCCUUUCGAAAGAAAGAUUAAUACCUGAUAGUACUUUUUCAAGGCAUCUUGAAAAAGUUAAAGAUUUAUUGGUUAUGGAUGGGGAUGCGUUCCAUUAGAUAGUUGGUGAGGUAACGGCUCACCAAGUCUUCGAUGGAUAGGGGUUCUGAGAGGAAGGUCCCCCACAUUGGUACUGAGACACGGACCAAACUCCUACGGGAGGCAGCAGUGAGGAAUAUUGGUCAAUGGGCGAGAGCCUGAACCAGCCAAGUAGCGUGAAGGAAUGAAGGUCCUAUGGAUUGUAAACUUCUUUUAUAGUAGAAUAAAGUGAGCCACGUGUGGUUUUUUGUAUGUAUACUAUGAAUAAGGAUCGGCUAACUCCGUGCCAGCAGCUGC
RNAcentral lists this ribosomal RNA (503 nucleotides) under uncultured bacterium. RNAcentral's name for it is "bacterial SSU rRNA". It matches the Rfam family "Bacterial small subunit ribosomal RNA", at positions 19 to 518 of the family's 1533-position model. The record is from RNAcentral.